UGGGGAAUAUUGCACAAUGGGCGCAAGCCUGAUGCAGCCAUGCCGCGUGUAUGAAGAAGGCCUUCGGGUUGUAAAGUACUUUCAGCGGGGAGGAAGGCGAUAAGGUUAAUAACCUUGUCGAUUGACGUUACCCGCAGAAGAAUCACCGGCUAACUCCGUGCCAGCAGCCGCGGUAAUACGGAGGGUGCAAGCGUUAAUCGGAAUUACUGGGCGUAAAGCGCACGCAGGCGGUCUGUCAAGUCGGAUGUGAAAUCCCCGGGCUCAACCUGGGAACUGCAUUCGAAACUGGCAGGCUAGAGUCUUGUAGAGGGGGGUAGAAUUCCAGGUGUAGCGGUGAAAUGCGUAGAGAUCUGGAGGAAUACCGGUGGCGAAGGCGGCCCCCUGGACAAAGACUGACGCUCAGGUGCGAAAGCGUGGGGAGCAAACA
RNAcentral lists this ribosomal RNA (427 nucleotides) under uncultured bacterium. Its description in RNAcentral is "partial 16S ribosomal RNA". It matches the Rfam family "Bacterial small subunit ribosomal RNA", at positions 355 to 774 of the family's 1533-position model. The record is from RNAcentral.